RNAcentral lists this transfer RNA (84 nucleotides) under Candidatus Berkelbacteria bacterium. RNAcentral describes it as "tRNA-Tyr". It matches the Rfam family "tRNA". From Rfam's summary of the family: Transfer RNA (tRNA) molecules are approximately 80 nucleotides in length. Their secondary structure includes four short double-helical elements and three loops (D, anti-codon, and T loops). Further hydrogen bonds mediate the characteristic L-shaped molecular structure. tRNAs have two regions of fundamental functional importance: the anti-codon, which is responsible for specific mRNA codon recognition, and the 3' end, to which the tRNAs corresponding amino acid is attached (by aminoacyl-tRNA synthetases). tRNAs cope with the degeneracy of the genetic code in two manners: having more than one tRNA (with a specific anti-codon) for a particular amino acid; and 'wobble' base-pairing, i.e. permitting non-standard base-pairing at the 3rd anti-codon position. The record is from RNAcentral. Lineage: Bacteria; Candidatus Berkelbacteria.
GCUGGGUUAGCGAAGUGGUCAAACGUAGCGCGCUGUAAACGCGAUGGCCUUGUGCCUUCGGGGGUUCGAAUCCCUCACCCAGCA